AUCAGGCCUGUAUACAAUACGAAUACUCAAAUAUACUUUAUUAAAUCCCAUUACCUAUUUUGAAACACACAACAUAGAAUGAUUUUUUGGAAUCAAAACACGUGUUACAUGAUAUAGGAAUCUUGCUUCAGUUUGAACUUAUUUGGUUUUGUUUUUUUUGUUUAUCAUGAAGAAAAGACAAGGCAUGAAAAAUGAGUUGAAGUAAAUUUCUCCAAAAAUCUAUAGUAGUAGUCCAAGUGAUCUAAAUUGUGUAAGUCCCUGUGAACCAGAUACUCCACAUUGUGAUGCUGGGAUCGGAAGUAAUUUUUUUAAAAAUGUAUAUGCUUGAAAGAAAACCAUAAUCUGUGAAUAAAUCGUAUUCAUUACUUAAAUUCCAUCUAAACUCAGUGUGGAUUCUUAGUUACUUGAUACUUAAAUCAGUGUAGUACACAAGUCUUUCUUGGACAUAGAACACAGUACAAAUCAAGAUCGUAGAUACACUACAAUCAUACAACAGCUUCGCUACCUCUUUUAAAGGAUAGCGUCCAUCGCUUCCAACCAGCACAAUGGUAAGAUAAAAUUAUCAAUAAUAAUAAUCCAAAUCAAACAUUUGAAAAUCUCAGCAAUGCAGGCUAAUUAUAUGUGCAAAACAUAUAUAGUAUUACAGUUUUGUUUUCUUCACCUAAUGUCACAUAUAUCUAGUACAAAGAUAAGACCAAAAAGUUUAGAUGCACUAUAAUAUUUGAAAUUCUAUAUUAAAUGGUGACAACUUGAUAUGCUUUGAUAUUAUGGAAAGGUUGAGAAUAUUUGUUUAUCUUAUUAAAACCAAAGAGAUUUUGUUGCCAAAAAUGUGCCAAUGAGAUCUAUACGGAUUAGCUUAUAAAUUUUUGAAAUGUAAUAAACUUCUGUUGUCAAAUUCAUGGUCAAACAUUUCCAUAUUCUAAUCAAAUCAAAUCUAAUAUUAACUCUUCAAGAUAUCUGGUCAAGCCAUAACGUACCAUUGCACUAUAUAAAGAACGAUGAAGAACUGUUAGCAAAAUUAUAAUAUUCUCUUUGGAGAAUGAAGAACGUUUCCUUUAAACUUGUGUUCUUGGUUGCUCUUCUUUCUCUUGUCUUUCGACAAGAUCUAGUGAAGGGUAGGACAUUGGUUCCAAAUAGAGGCGGCGGGAAUUAUCACGACCCGGUUUGUAACUCGGAUGAUCCCAGUUGCAACAAACCUUGUAAUCCAGAGAAUCCAAAUUGCGCCAUGAAACAAGGUGACAUGGAUACAAAUAGAGCCGACAGGAACUAUCAGGACCCGCCUUGUGACCCGUAUUAUGAUCCAAAUUGCGUCAAACCCUGUAAUCCAGAGAACCCAAAUUGUUAAUAGAAACAAGGCAUUGGAUAACGUCUAAUAUAGCUUAUUUAUUGAAUAAAUGUGAACGUGUAUAUUCUCAGAUUUGUAUGGCUUAUCUUAUGCAUCAACAGUUACAUGAUAUUUAUAAUAAUAAUAACUAGGUUAAAACCCGCGCCUUGCGCGGAAUGAACAUUAUA
This is a long non-coding RNA of Brassica napus (rape), 1512 nucleotides long. RefSeq lists it as uncharacterized. The transcript has 2 exons. Lineage: Eukaryota; Viridiplantae; Streptophyta; Magnoliopsida; Brassicales; Brassicaceae. The record is from RefSeq and is a predicted model, not a curated record.